GGACUACUGGGGUAUCUAAUCCUGUUUGCUCCCCACGCUUUCGCACCUCAGCGUCAGUACCGGGCCAGUGAGCCGCCUUCGCCACUGGUGUUCUUGCGAAUAUCUACGAAUUUCACCUCUACACUCGCAGUUCCACUCACCUCUCCCGGACUCAAGCUUCUCAGUAUCAAAGGCAGUUCUGGAGUUGAGCUCCAGGAUUUCACCCCUGACUUAAAAAGCCGCCUACGUGCGCUUUACGCCCAGUGAUUCCGAGCAACGCUAGCCCCCUUCGUAUUACCGCGGCUGCUGGCAC
RNAcentral lists this ribosomal RNA (292 nucleotides) under uncultured bacterium. Its description in RNAcentral is "partial 16S ribosomal RNA". The record is from RNAcentral. RNAcentral also lists the same sequence under 1 other name.